AGUCGACUAAGCGACAAAAAAAAGGUAAUUAGGCUUAGAGCGUCCCCGAUAUUUCGGGGGGUUUAC
Molecule: ribozyme, 66 nt
Filed under: unclassified sequences
Description: pistol ribozyme
Rfam family: Pistol ribozyme
Source: RNAcentral